Molecule: ribosomal RNA, 277 nt
Filed under: uncultured Prevotella sp.
Lineage: Bacteria; Pseudomonadati; Bacteroidota; Bacteroidia; Bacteroidales; Prevotellaceae
Description: partial 16S ribosomal RNA
Rfam family: Bacterial small subunit ribosomal RNA
Source: RNAcentral
CUUUCCUUGACGACGACUGGCGCACGGGUGAGUAACGCGUAUCCAACCUUCCCAUGACCACGGGAUAACCCGUUGAAAGACGGCCUAAUACCGUAUGACGUCGUUUGCCGACAUCGAAAGACGACCAAAGGUUUGGCGGUGAUGGAUGGGGAUGCGUCUGAUUAGCUUGUUGGCGGGGUAACGGCCCACCAAGGCUACGAUCAGUAGGGGUUCUGAGAGGAAGGUCCCCCACAUUGGAACUGAGACACGGUCCAAACUCCUACGGGAGGCAGCAGGU